GGACGGCUGAGUAACACGUGGGUAACCUACCCGGGCGUGGGGGAUAACCCGCCGAAAGGCGGGCUAAUACCGCAUACGAUCGCUGGUCUAUGGGCUGGUGAGGAAAGUGGUGACAUGCGCUCGGCUGGGCCUGCGGCCGAUUAGCUAGUUGGUGGGGUAAGGGCCUACCAAGGCGAUGAUCGGUAGCUGGUCUGAGAGGAUGAUCAGCCAGACUGGGACUGUGACACGGCCCAGACUCCUACGGGAGGCAACAGUUAGGAAUCUUGGGCAAUGGGCGAAAGCCUGACCCAGCAACGCCGCGUGGGUGAUGAAGGCCUUCGGGUCGUAAAGCUCUUUUCCCGGGGAAGAUGAUGACGGUACCCGGGGAAUAAGCCCCGGCUAACUACGUGCCAGCAGCCGCGGUAAUACGUAGGGGGCGAGCGUUGUCCGGAUUUAUUGGGCGUAAAAGGCUUGUAGGCGGCCACAUCGCGUCGGACGUGAAAUCUCCCGGCUCAACUGGGAGGGGUCGUGCGAUACGGAUGGGCUCGAGGCCGGUAGGGGGACGCGGAAUUCCCGGUGUAGUGGUGGAAUGCGUAGAUAUCGGGAGGAACACCAGUGGCGCAGGCGGCGUCCUGGACCGGCACUGACGCUGAGGAGCGAAAGCUGGGGACGAUCCGGAUAGAUACCCGGGUAGUCCACGCGUAAACGGUGCGCAUAGGGUCGGGGGAUGACCCUCCGGGCCGCAGUAACGCAUAAGUGCGCUGCUGGGGAGUACGCCGCAAGGCUAAAACUCAAAGGAAUUGACGGGGGCCCGCACAAGCACGGAGCGU
Molecule: ribosomal RNA, 809 nt
Filed under: uncultured bacterium
Lineage: Bacteria
Description: bacterial SSU rRNA
Rfam family: Bacterial small subunit ribosomal RNA
Source: RNAcentral